AUGGAGUCACCAUCAUCAAAGCGCAACACCACCCCUUCCCUCUUCUUCCAAUGCUCACACCUCGUCCUUCCAUGGCUAACCCCACAAGAGCUAGCCACGGCAUCUCUCACCUGCACCACCCUCCGCAAUCUCUCCACCUCCAUCACUCUCCGCCGCGCCUCCGACGCCUCCCGAUCCCUCGAGCCUCUUCCCAUCCCAUUCCACAACUCCCUCGACCAACACCCUUAUGCCUACUUCCUCUACCAACCCACUUCUUCUCCUUCAACCAAUCUUCUACGCCAGCCGUGGGGCGCCUCCUCCGCUCACCACGACUCGGACACGAAGACAAGAACUGAAACUGAAACCUUGUCGUUGUGUUUUGUCGACCAAAGUGGGAACUGUGGGUGUGAGGAGACUUGUGGAGGCGGGUGUCCGUGUGUUGUUGGAUUUGGUGGAAUGGACGGCGUCGUUUUUGAAUGUGGGCCUGGUUGUGGGUGUGGGUUGAGCUGUGGGAAUCGGUUGAGUCAGAGAGGGAUUCGGGUUAAGUUGAAGAUUGUGAGGGACCGGAGAAAGGGAUGGGGUUUGUUUGCCGACCAGUUUAUACCAAAGGGUCAGUUUGUGUGCGAGUAUGCAGGUGAACUAUUGACAACCAAGGAAUCAAGAUUGCGGCAACAAACAUAUGAUGAACUUUCAUCAGGUGGUCACUUCUCACCUGCUCUUUUGGUGGUGAGGGAGCAUCUUCCAUCCAAAAAGGCUUGUCUGAGGCUUAAUAUUGAUGCCACAAUAAUUGGAAAUGUCUCAAGGUUCAUCAAUCAUUCUUGUGAUGGAGGUAAUUUGUCCACAUCUCUUGUUAGAAGCUCAGGCGUUUUGCUUCCACGGCUUUGCUUUUUCGCUUCAGAUGACAUAAGAGAAGAUGAAGAGCUUACAUUUAGCUAUGGUGAAACUAGGCUAAACUCCAAGGGUAUGCAGUGCUUUUGUGGAAGCUCUUGCUGUGUUGGUGUAUUACCCUCGGAGCAGACUUAAUUGAUGCUUGGCGCCGUAGCUCCAAAGAAGCAUAAAUUCUUUACUUUUAUGUAGAAGAACCACUCAUUGAGAAGAAAUGGGAAGAUGAAGAAGAAGGGGGAUAAGAAGAGAAGAAACUGUCAUCAUGACUUUUAGAUUACUGAAGUUAUUUAUAGUGUUGAGGAAUUGAUUGCAUUGGAGUACUUGGAGUUGGCAUGGGGUUGCAGUGGCGAGCCCGCAUUUGGACUCGUCAUUAGGACUAUUGCAUAACUUAAUGGCAGUCAUUCGGAAGCAAGAUUAGGCAAGAAACCCAAGGAAGCUGGUGAGUGUUCUUACAGCUGCAGUUCGGGUAAGAUUAAGAUGCGACUUGUCUCUGCUGUUCGUGAGUUCCACCUGGUGUGGAAGAAAUGCUACUUACAUUAUGGCGGUGCUGAUACUUCUGAGAGUGAACCAAUGGAUUGCAGCAGUGAAUUGGA
RNA transcript from Argentina anserina (silverweed cinquefoil), 1457 nucleotides. It is a transcript of the gene named histone-lysine N-methyltransferase SUVR3, with no coding region annotated. The record is from RefSeq and is a predicted model, not a curated record. The transcript has 3 exons. Lineage: Eukaryota; Viridiplantae; Streptophyta; Magnoliopsida; Rosales; Rosaceae.